AAAUUGAAGAGUUUGAUCAUGGCUCAGAUUGAACGCUGGCGGCAGGCCUAACACAUGCAAGUCGAACGGUAACAGGAAACAGCUUGCUGUUUCGCUGACGAGUGGCGGACGGGUGAGUAAUGUCUGGGAAACUGCCUGAUGGAGGGGGAUAACUACUGGAAACGGUAGCUAAUACCGCAUAAUGUCGCAAGACUAAAGAGGGGGACCUUCGGGCCUCUUGCCAUCGGAUGUGCCCAGAUGGGAUUAGCUAGUAGGUGGGGUAACGGCUCACCUAGGCGACGAUCCCUAGCUGGUCUGAGAGGAUGACCAGCCACACUGGAACUGAGACACGGUCCAGACUCCUACGGGAGGCAGCAGUGGGGAAUAUUGCACAAUGGGCGCAAGCCUGAUGCAGCCAUGCCGCGUGUAUGAAGAAGGCCUUCGGGUUGUAAAGUACUUUCAGCGGGGAGGAAGGGAGUAAAGUUAAUACCUUUACU
Molecule: ribosomal RNA, 476 nt
Filed under: Shigella sonnei
Lineage: Bacteria; Pseudomonadati; Pseudomonadota; Gammaproteobacteria; Enterobacterales; Enterobacteriaceae
Description: bacterial SSU rRNA
Rfam family: Bacterial small subunit ribosomal RNA
Source: RNAcentral